Molecule: long non-coding RNA, 329 nt
Organism: Lutra lutra (Eurasian river otter)
Lineage: Eukaryota; Metazoa; Chordata; Mammalia; Carnivora; Mustelidae
Exons: 3
Source: RefSeq, a predicted model, not a curated record
AUGAGACACCACAGUUGCUGCUUCUUCCCAGGGGCCUAUCUGCAGAGAAGAUGGAACAAAGGAAGCUUGGCUGCUUUCAGGAACAUCCCCCUAGUGAUGGCAGUCAGCGCUUGGGGCGGUGCUGGGGCACAGCUACAGAGGCCUGAUACAGAGGGGACCACGAAGUGGCCAGAGGCUGGUCCAACAGGAGGAAAUCCUGUGCUCUGCCAGAUUUCAAGUUGGCAGGGCACCUAUGGGCAGAAGAGCAGGUUACUGGAUCUGAACUUGUACUAAAGAAUGUCGGUGAAGGGGCUCGAAUGGUUCAGGAACUCUUUAAAAUGACCAAAACA